Long non-coding RNA from Etheostoma spectabile (orangethroat darter), 139 nucleotides. RefSeq lists it as uncharacterized. Lineage: Eukaryota; Metazoa; Chordata; Actinopteri; Perciformes; Percidae. The record is from RefSeq and is a predicted model, not a curated record. The transcript is spliced from 2 exons.
UGCGUGCGUGCGUGCAUGCGUGCGUGCAUGCGUGCGUGUGUUCUUGUGGAGUUUAACUCCGAGAAGACAGUUAACCACAAGUUCCUGUUGAUCUUAUGAUGGACAUGUGUUUUGAUAUUUAACCAAACAAUCCGUCAAC